This 253-nucleotide ribosomal RNA is filed under the name uncultured bacterium. RNAcentral's name for it is "partial 16S ribosomal RNA". It matches the Rfam family "Bacterial small subunit ribosomal RNA", at positions 524 to 776 of the family's 1533-position model. The record is from RNAcentral.
AACGUAGGUGGCGAGCGUUAUCCGGAUUUACUGGGCGUAAAGGGUGUGCAGGCGGGCUGUUAAGUGGUAUAUGAAAUAUCCCGGCUCAACCGGGAGAGGUUAUGCCAGACUGGCAGUCUAGAGAGCGAGAGAGGGACGUGGAAUUCCGGGUGUAGUGGUGAAAUGCGUAGAGAUCCGGAGGAACCCCAGAGGCGAAGGCGGCGUCCUGGCUCGCAUCUGACGCUCAGACACGACAGCAUGGGGAGCGAACGGG